UUUCAUUACUCAUAUCAAUAUGGAAUUACAAGGUGAUUCCAGUUAAGUUUUUAAGCUACGAACUAGUAAGGCUACCAAAUCCACCAAUACCAACCAAGGGACAGAAUAUUCGGAUUUGCUCAAAGAGCAAGAACAGCCUGAAUUAGAACUAAAAUAGGAGAGCACACUACCAAAGUAGUAUAUAUGAAAACUACAAAACUAGUAAUGAAAGGGUAAAUGGUUUUCUGCUGACAUGACAAGGUGCAGACAGACCAUCACAGUGUCAUAACCGCCUCCUUCUCCCAAAGAUCUCCACUGUUAAUUGAUGCAAUCAUUUGGGCGGUACACUUUCCAGCACAUUAAAGAGGGAAUUAGUCUAGCUCGUCCAACAUCGGAAGCGCAAACAGAAACUUAAAAUGAAAUUUACAGAUGGAGUCUGAACCUUAAUGGGUUCAUCAGGCACAGCCUGGAAAGAGCCAAAAGGAAGAAGAGUGUCCAAAGCAGUCAUCCAGUUGGUUGGGCAUCAGAAAGAUCGGUAUUGUGCAUCCAGGCGGAUUCACCCAGAUCCCCGCAUCUCUGGCAAGCCUGCCUCUGCCUUCCGCAUCCAUUUCC
This 591-nucleotide long non-coding RNA is filed under the name Setaria viridis. RNAcentral's name for it is "long non-coding RNA (SVIR_LNC005301)". The record is from RNAcentral. Lineage: Eukaryota; Viridiplantae; Streptophyta; Magnoliopsida; Poales; Poaceae.